Molecule: ribosomal RNA, 696 nt
Filed under: Caulobacteraceae bacterium
Lineage: Bacteria; Pseudomonadati; Pseudomonadota; Alphaproteobacteria; Caulobacterales; Caulobacteraceae
Description: bacterial SSU rRNA
Rfam family: Bacterial small subunit ribosomal RNA
Source: RNAcentral
UAACACGUGGGAACGUGCCUUUAGGUUCGGAAUAACUCAGGGAAACUUGUGCUAAUACCGAAUGUGCCCUUCGGGGGAAAGAUUUAUCGCCUUUAGAGCGGCCCGCGUCUGAUUAGCUAGUUGGUAGUGUAAUGGACUACCAAGGCGACGAUCAGUAGCUGGUCUGAGAGGAUGAUCAGCCACAUUGGGACUGAGACACGGCCCAAACUCCUACGGGAGGCAGCAGUGGGGAAUCUUGCGCAAUGGGCGAAAGCCUGACGCAGCCAUGCCGCGUGAAUGAUGAAGGUCUUAGGAUUGUAAAAUUCUUUCACCGGGGACGAUAAUGACGGUACCCGGAGAAGAAGCCCCGGCUAACUUCGUGCCAGCAGCCGCGGUAAUACGAAGGGGGCUAGCGUUGCUCGGAAUUACUGGGCGUAAAGGGAGCGUAGGCGGACAUUUAAGUCAGGGGUGAAAUCCCGGGGCUCAACCUCGGAAUUGCCUUUGAUACUGGGUGUCUUGAGUAUGAGAGAGGUGUGUGGAACUCCGAGUGUAGAGGUGAAAUUCGUAGAUAUUCGGAAGAACACCAGUGGCGAAGGCGACACACUGGCUCAUUACUGACGCUGAGGCUCGAAAGCGUGGGGAGCAAACAGGAUUAGAUACCCUGGUAGUCCACGCCGUAAACGAUGAUUGCUAGUUGUCGGGAUGCAUGCAUUUCGG